Aphis gossypii (cotton aphid) is the source of this 735-nucleotide long non-coding RNA. RefSeq lists it as uncharacterized. The record is from RefSeq and is a predicted model, not a curated record. The transcript has 3 exons. Lineage: Eukaryota; Metazoa; Arthropoda; Insecta; Hemiptera; Aphididae.
ACAAAAGUGACGGUGUUGGAAAAAAUAAUAUCCUUUAAAGUAUCGUAAGUAGAAAAUUAAGUGGAAGAAGAGAAAGUACAAAAUAUAUCUAGAAUAUCUUCUCCCCGACACCACCACCAACCCAUAAAGGCAAGUCGUACUUUUUUUUUUUUUAUUGUCAUUUAUUAUCAACCAGUCAGUCACAAAGAUAACAUCAAAACGUCAUCGACAUAGAGGACCAGCGUUUGAGGAGAAAGGUAUUGAAACAACAAAUUAUUGAAUGUACCAAUGAACGAAGAGUGUAAACAAUAUAAUAUUUUGUGACAAGCAUUUUGCGCCAAGCCGUUAAAAUCCUCAAACAAAUCUGAUGCUUCAUCAUCUACUAAGCAGACAAGUGUUAUACACAAGACUAUUAUUGUUGGCGGUACAUCUUGCUAGUGUUAUAAUAUUCUAAUGUUAGCGGAAUGACCUGUCCCAACACGUCUAUUAUUCUCAAUACUCGUAAGUCAGUGUCUAGAAUUGGUAUCAAAACUCUACCGUAUAUACCUAAUGAUCCAGAAAAAAGUCAAAAAUCUAUUGCGAUACUUACAAUUGUCUUGAAUGAGGGAGCAAAAUGUCAUUAAAUAUGCAUCACAUUAGAAGAUGUUCAAUUCACCUACACUGUCAAUAAUUCUAAGUCGGGGUUAAACAAUAGAAACAAAAUUCAGUAGUUUUAACGUUUUUAUUAAUGUUGCCAACAAGUUAUAUCAUGUACAU